GAUGAACGCUAGCUACAGGCUUAACACAUGCAAGUCGAGGGGUAACGAGAGGAAAGCUUGCUUUCCCUGUCGACGACCGGCGCACGGGUGAGUAACGCGUAUCCAACCUGCCGCCAACUAGGGAAUAACCUUGCGAAAGUAAGACUAAUACCCUAUAAUUUCCUCCGAUGUCAUCUGACGAGGAAUAAAGAUUUAUCGGUUGUGGAUGGUGAUGCGUCUGAUUAGCUUGUUGGCGGGGUAACGGCCCACCAAGGCAACGAUCAGUAGGGGUUCUGAGAGGAAGGUCCCCCACAUUGGAACUGAGACACGGUACAAACUCCUACGGGAGGCAGCAGUGAGGAAUAUUGGUCAAUGGGCGGAAGCCUGAACCAGCCAAGUAGCGUGCAGGAUGACGGCCCUAUGGGUUGUAAACUGCUUUUAUACAGGAAUAAAGUUAGCCACGUGUGGUUAUUUGUAGGUACUGUAUGAAUAAGGACCGGCUAAUUCCGUGCCAGCCGCCGCGGUAA
This 506-nucleotide ribosomal RNA is filed under the name uncultured bacterium. RNAcentral's name for it is "partial 16S ribosomal RNA". It matches the Rfam family "Bacterial small subunit ribosomal RNA", at positions 28 to 523 of the family's 1533-position model. The record is from RNAcentral.